RNAcentral lists this long non-coding RNA (12517 nucleotides) under Sorghum bicolor (sorghum). RNAcentral describes it as "long non-coding RNA (SBIC_LNC018453)". Lineage: Eukaryota; Viridiplantae; Streptophyta; Magnoliopsida; Poales; Poaceae. The record is from RNAcentral.
GCAUCAAGAUUAGCACUAUCUCCAAAACUGAUCAAACCGAGCUUCCACUUGAGCCUCUUCACCAAAGUACCAACAGGUGCUUCCAAAAUGGUUUCUUAGACUAUGGUGCAUUAGUCACAAACCAUGCACAUAUUUUGCACCGAAACUAACACUGUUUCUAAAUAGACCAAAGCGAGAUUCCAUAUGACACACGUCAUCAAGGAGUCCCAUCAGGUGCAUCCAAAUUGAUUUCCAAGCAUAUGGUAUGUUCCAUGCAAACCGUGCACCUAUCUUGCAUCAAGACUAGCACUGUCUCCAAACAGACCGAAACGAGGUUCCACUUGAGCCUCUUCAUCUAGGUGUAGAAACACGUGCGUCGAAAAUGGUUUCUUAGACUACGGUGCAUUAGGCACAAACUAUGCACCUAUCUUGCACUGAAACUAACAUUGUCUCCAAAUAGACCGAAGCGAGAUUCCAUAUGACACACAUUAUCUUGGAGUUCCAUUGGGUGCGUCCAAAUUGAUUUAUUAACAUAUGGUACGUUCCAUGCAAACUGUGCAACUAUAUUACAUAAAAAUUAACACUAUAUCCAGGCAGACCAAAUCGAGCCUCCACUUGAGCCUCUUCAACUACGAGUACAAUCGGGUGCGUCUAAAAUGGUUUCUUAGCCUAUUGUGCAUUAGGCGUAAACCGUGCACAUAUCUUCUACCAAAAUUAAAACUUUCUCUAAACGAACCAAAGCAAGAUUUCAAAUGACACACAUUAUCAAGGACUUAUAUCAGGUAGGUCCUAAUUGAUUUCUGAGCAUAUCGUAUCUCCAAAUAGACCAAACCGGGCUUUCACUUGAGCCCCUUGACCUAGGAGUACCAUCGGGUGUGUCCAAAAUAGUUUCUUAACUGUAACGCCUGAGGGAAAAUAGAUAAAGAAAAAAAAGGUAAAAAAUAAAAAAAAAUAAAAAAUACUGUAGCCGGCGCUACAGUACCUGCGGUGUACAGUACCACGCCCGACCCUUCUCCUACCCUGAGUCGGUGUUUUCCCUGUUCCUCGCAACCUGGUCACGAACCGCCGCCAUCCUACCUACAAAAUUCACGAAAGAGAGAAAGGUGAAGAGGGAAGAGGAGGAGAGGGCCUAGGGUUUUGCCACCGCUGUCGCAGCCGCCGCCGUCGUCGGUCAACCGUGGUGGUCGUUCUUCCUCCCGUGCAAAUUACGGUUAGGUUCUACCACGUAUCUUGGCUUUCCCAUUGAUCCACCAUGUCCCUUUGCUGUCCAUGAGGGCUUAGCCAUGUUUGGCGUAGAUCAGAAUAACAAGGCUUUGUGGCGGCAAGGAUCGUGGUGAGUUGGAUCGGAGAUGAUGGAAAGGUGAAGAGGCGGAGAAGAAGGAGUAGACACCGAGAGUUUUUGCGUCGUGCUCGCUGUGGUUCUCUAGGUGAGAAGCCAAAUAUUAAUCCUCUUCAUCUGAUCAAGUUUUGUGGAUUAAAUAACUUAUUUGGGAUAAGAAAACAGUGGCAGAGUAUGAGGUGGGCUUCAACAAGAUUGUUCGCUUUGUUCCACAUGUGGCCCGUAAUGAGGUAGAGAAGGCAAGCCAGUUUCGUCAGGGUUUGAAACCAUCGAUAAGGCACACUUUGGGGGCCUUUCCACUGGUGGAUUUUUGCACCACUGUGGAGCAGGCUCUAGGUGUGGAGAUGUUGUUACAGGUACUAUAUUAGUUGAUUCAUUUGAUGCAUAUGCUCUUUUUGACUCUAGCGCUAUUUUCUCGUUUGUCUCAAAAGGGUUUGUGGCUCGUGCUGGCCUUUCUAUGCAGAAGAUUGGUCAGUCCAUUGUGGUUAGUUCUGCUAAAGGCUCUAUAUCAAGUCAUUUGAUUUGUCCGGGUUGCCAUAUUUUUCUAGCUGAGGAGGGUUUUGUUGCUAAUCUAGUGGUGAUUCCCCUUGAGUCCUUUGAUGUUAUUUUGGGCAUGGAUUGGCUUUCACAAUAUCCCGUAUUAUCUCUUGUUUCUAGAAGACAGUAUCUUUGCAGGCACCUUCUGGUAGAGAGGUGAUCUUUGUUGGGAGUGCUAUGAAGUACUCUCUUGCUCUAUUGUGUCUGUUGUUCUCAGAUCGUCAAACUAGGAAAUAUGGAAUUCUCUUUUCUAUGGUGGAUGGUAGUGAGGUUGCCUUGAGAGUGGAGGACAUACGAGUGGUGUGUCAUUAUCCUGACGUGUUUCCUGCUGAACUUCCAAGUAUUCCUCCUGAGCGUGAUGCAGUUUUUGAAAUUAAGUUGGUUCCUGGUACGCAGCCAAUCCAUAAGACUCCGUAUUGGAUGGCUCCAAAAGAGCAGGUUGAGUUGAAGAGGCAGUUGGAUGAUCUUCUUGCUAAGGGUUUUAUUAGACCUAGCAAGUCACCUUGGGCUUUCCCUGUGCUAUUUGUGGAGAAGAAGGAUGGUACUAAGAGGUUAUGUGUGGAUUAUCGAGAUCUUAAUCGGGUAACCAUCAAGAAUAAAUAUCCUUUACCGCGUAUUGAAGUCCUCUUUGAGCAAUUGAGAGGUGCCAAGGUAUUCUCUAAGAUUGACUUGAAUUCUGGCUAUCAUCAGUUGAGAAUACGGGAUGAAGAUAUAGAGAAGACAGCUUUUAGCACCAGGUAUGGGCAUUAUGAAUAUAUUGUUAUGUCUUUUGGACUAACAAAUGCCCCUGCUGUGUUUAUGGAAGCUAUGAAUAGGAUGCUACAUGAGUACUUGGAUGAUUUUGUCGUUGUUUUCCUUGACGGUAUCUUGAUUUACUCUAAGUCCGAGGAAGAGCAUGAGCUACAUCUUAGCCUUGUUCUUGAUGCCCUUCGGAAGAAUCAAUUUUAUGGGAAAUUGAAGAAGUGCGCUUUUUGGCUCUCUGAAGUGGCUUUUCUAGGUCAUGUUAUUAAUCAACAUGGCAUUUCAGUGGAUCCCAAGAAUGUAGCUAGCGUUGUUAAUUGGCAGAGACCUACUACAGUGACUGAGAUUCGCAGUUUUCUUGGUCUUGCUGGCUAUUAUCGGCGUUUUGUGCAGGAUUUCUCUAGUAUUGCAAAGCCGAUGACGAGGCUUACUGAGAAGGGUGUUCCUUUUGUAUGGAACAAUGAUUGUGAGAUCAGUUUCCAUACUUUAAAGGAUAAGUUGGUGAAUGCUCCUAUCUUGGCCUUACCUGAGAGUGGCAAGCGUUUCACGGUGUACACAGAUGCAUCCCGUGUUGGUCUUGGUUGUGUAUUGAUGCAAGAUGGCAAAGUGAUUGCUUAUGGCUCUAGGCAGUUGAAGAAACAUGAGAGAAAUUAUCCUACCCAUGAUCUAGAGUUGGCUGCUGUGGUGUUUGCCCUGAAGUCUUGGAGGCAUUAUCUAUAUGGUGAGCCAUGUGAUAUUUAUACUGAUCAUAAGAGCCUUAAAUAUAUUUUUACUCAGAAGGAGCUAAAGUUGAGGCAGCGUAGGUGGCUUGAGUUGAUAAAAGAUUAUGACCUUACUAUUCAGUAUCAUCCUUGGAAGGCGAAUGUGGUGGCAGAUGCUCUUAGUAGAACUGGGGUUCCUAAGGUAGCAAUGCCCUUGAUUGCAGAUUUGAAUCGUAUGGGUGUCUCCUUGUGCUAUUUUGGUGCAGCAAGAGAGGAGACUCAGUUGCUCAUUCAGUCAAACCUUCUUGAGAGGGUCCGUGAGGCUCAAAAGCAUGAUCGCUUGAUUUAGGAGGCUCGCAAGAGGGUUGGUGAUGGCAAACCUCGUGAGUUUAGUAUUGAUCAGAAUGAUGCGGUUUGUUUUAGGGGACGCCUUUGUGUGCCACAGAAAUCAGAGGUGAAAAUAGAUAUCUUAAGAGAAGCUCAUCGUACUCCAUACACAGUUCAUCCUGGUGAGACAAAGAUGUAUAGAGAUCUGAAGCAGAGCUUUUGGUGGAAGAGGAUGAAGGCCGAUGUUGCCAAGUAUGUAGCAGCUUGCGGUGUGUGCCAGCAAGUGAAGGCUGAGCACAAGAGGCCUGCAGGAUUAUAAAAAACCCUAGAAAUUCCAGAAUGGAAGUGGGAAUAUAUUACUAUGGACUUUGUGGUUGGUUUGCCACGUUCUCCACGGGGUAAAGAUGCAAUUUGGGUUGUUGUAGAUAGACUCACCAAGAUGGCUCAUUUUAUUCCAAUGAACACCAAGAAUUCUGCUGCAGAUUUGGUCCCAUUGUAUAUUAAGGAGAUAGUGAGGCUACAUGGAGUACCAAAGUCUAUUGUUUCUGAUCGAGACUCCAAAUUUGUUUCUAAUUUCUGGAAAAGUUUGCAUAGCGCUUUAGGGACGAAGCUUGACAUGAGUGUUGCUUUUCACCCUCAAACUGAUGGUCAGUCUGAGCGCACUAUCCAUACUUUGGAGGAUAUGUUGCGUGCUUGUGUCCUUUCUUGGAGGGGAAGUUGGGAGGAUCAUCUAGCUUUGGCUGAGUUUGCUUAUAAUAACAGCUAUCAAGCUAGUAUAAAGAUGGCGCCAUAUGAGGCUUUGUAUGGUAGAAGAUGUAUCUCACCGUUGUGUUGGGAAACACUAGGAGAGAGGUCUUUAGUUGGUCCAGAUUGGAUUCAACAGACAACUAAGAAGGUACAAGAAAUACGUCAGAAUAUGUUGGCUGCUCAGAGCCGCUAGAAAAGCUAUGCAGAUGUUCGAAGGCGAGAUCUCGAGUUUGCAGUGGGUGAUCAAGUUCUUCUUCGAGUAUCGCCUACUAAGGGUGUUGUGCGGUUUGGUACUACGGGAAAGCUCAGCCCGAGGUACAUUGGACCUUUUGAUAUCAUAGCCCGAGUCGGUAGCUUGGCUUACCGCUUGCAGUUGCCCGAGUCUAUGAAGGGAGUUCAUAAUGUCUUCCAUGUUUCUAUGUUGAGAAAGUAUCUGCGAGAUCCCGAGCAUAAGAUCAACUUAGAGCCUAUUCAUGUGGAGCAGGACUUGACUGUGAAGUGUGAGCCAGUGCGUAUUUUAGAAUCAUCAGAGCGUGUUCUAAGGAGAAGAAUUAUCAAAUAUGUCAGAGUUCUAUGGGCAAAUCAGCCUGAACGUGAAGUGACUUGGGAGCUUGAGGAGCAGAUGCGUAAGGAGUAUCCUGAACUAUUUGACACCGGUGAGUUUUAUGCAAAUAUGUGUGUUUACCGUUAUCUUAGCUUAUACCGUAGAUGCAGCUGAAUUCGAGGACGAAUUAUUUUUUAGGAGGGUAGACUGUAACGCAUGAGGGAAAAUAGAUAAAGAAAAAAGGUAAGAAAUAAAAAAAUAAAAAUACUGUAGCCGGCGCUACAGUACCCGCGGUGUACAGUACCACACCCGACCCUUGUCCCACCUUGAGUCGGUGUUUUCCCUGUUCCUCCCAACCUGGUCACGAACCGCCGCCAUCUUACCUACAAAAUUCACGAAAGAGAGAAAGGAGAAGAGGGAAGAGGAGGAGAGGGCCUAGGGUUUUGCCACCGCCGUCGCAGCCGCCGCCGUUGUCGGUCAUCCGUGGUGGUCGUUCUUCCUCCCGUGCAAAUUACGGUUAGGUUCUACCACGUAUCUUGGCUUUCCCAUUGAUCCACCAUGUCCCUUUGCUGUCCAUGAGGGCUUAGCCAUGUUUGGCGUAGAUCGGAAUAACAAGGCCUUUGUGGCGGCAAGGAUCGUGGUGAGUUGGAUCGGAGAUGAUGGAAAGGUGAAGAGGCGGAGAAGGAGUAGACGCCGGGAGUUUUUGCGUCGUGCUCGCUGUGGUUCUCUAGGUGAGAAGCCAAAUAUUAAUCCCCUUCAUCUGAUCAAGUUUUGCGGAUUAAAUCGCUUAUUUGGGAUUGGGUUUAGUGGAGAAAUUAUCGAAGUCAAUUUCGUUCUUGUUCUGAAAUUCUCGUCAGACUGAGCAGUCCCUGUUCAUCAUAAUGUUAGGGCAUUUUAGAAGCUUUAAUAAUUUUUUAGCCUGCGGACAAAGUUGUAGAGGACUUCAAUGUCUUUCUUUGGACGCCAAGAACUCUGUCAUAGCAGUUAUAAUUUGUGAGAUAUCGAGUUUUCAAUCUGACUGUUUUCCAGUGAUGAAAAUCUGGACAGUUUUGGAUCUAAGCAGUUUUUGACCCUGUUAAUUAAAUAAUUAGGUCUUUGAUUAUUAACAAAGGUUUUAGGAUUUUUGUUAAGCUUUCUAGAUUGGUAAAUUUUGUAACUUUUGAAUUAGUAUAUCUCCAGUUAUAAAUUUUUGAAGUUUGAUGUUCUGUUUUGAAUGUCAGAAAUAUUCAGUUGUGUUCUAUGGUUAAUUAUACCAUCUUACGGACCUCUGAUGCAAAACCUUUCAAUACAAAAGUUGUACAUAACAGAGUUUUACAUGGUCUGAUAAAUUGUGGUAAUUUUUGGAUGUGUAUUCUGAAGUAUAUGAAAAAGAGAAGAGUCGGUACUGCUGUCUUGAUCGGUAGCGCAAACGGUAAAGGCUUGAAUGUCGGGUUUGGGGCGCUUUAGUGCGUAUUUGUUCUUAAUCUUACUUGAAUGUUGGUGUAUGCACUGAAUAUUAUUUGUGAUCAGGUGGUAGCACUUCAGAACGUCGCUAGUGUUUUUGUUCUCCUUCGGUAAAUUAAGAGGCAAGUGAAUGUAGCGGUGGUUUGCUACCGUUUUGGCUUGUUAUUUUCAUCACCUACAGUUUAUUGUCUAUAAGAAUGUCUUGGUAUUUUCAGCCUUAGUUAAAUUAUGGUCUUAUUUAAGUUCUCAUGGUGAAGGUAUUAUUUUAUAUUGUUAUUUGUGGCUAGCCCACAUACCUGAAUUUGAAGUUGGAGUAUCACUCGUGAAUUAUUAAUUUUAUUGCAACAUGCUAAGUGCAUUGCAUCAUUCAUUGGUAUUGGAAGUUAUGUCUUGACCUAUGGUCAUGACUGUACCGGUACGCAUCAUGGGAUGCAGCUCCACACCUUGUUGGUGUGCAGGCAGGAGACAUAUGCAUUGCAUUCAUAUGCAUUCAUGAGAAGUAUGUUAUCGAAGGGAUUUUAUCCACGUUAUUAUGAAGCUCUCUAUUGUUGGCUAUGUUCCAAAUCGAAAGUCUGUUACUUUAAUUCGAUAUCGUGUCAAUUGGAAAUACCAUAUUAAAUUGAUAUUAAUUCAACUUGUGGUUUAAAUAGCUUGUCAAAACAAAUUCGCUUGCUGAGAUAUUUUAUCUCACUCUUGCGUUACUCAAUACUUGAUGCUUGCUUGGAAGGUAAGGAAAUUAGCUGCACGUCACACACUUCUUCAUUUAGAGACCUUGUGUUUUAAUAAAUAAUAACUUGGUUUGCUCAUUGGUUUUGAAGGUGUUUGUUUAAAGUGUGAAUGUUAAACUUAACUCUUGCCUUAGGAUGUUUAUUAAUCCUAGUUUGGUAUUUCAGUUAUUUAUAUAUUUUAUUCUUCCGCUUGCUAUAAAUACAAAGAAGAUGCUGCCAAAUUAUUUGUUAGUUGUGUGCAGCUGUUGUUUGUGUAGUUUAGUAGCAUUCUGGUGUAUUUGUGGUUUCCGGGGUGUUACAUUAACCUAUGGUGCAUUAGGUGCAAACCGUGCACCUAUCUUGCACUGAAACUAACACUAUCUCUAAACGGAUCGAAGUGAGAUUCCAUAUGACACAUGUCAUCUAGGAGUUCCAUCUUGUGCGUCCAAAUUGAUUUCUAAGCAUAGGGUAUGUUCCAUGCAAAUUGUGCACCUAUCUUGCAUCAAGAUUAGCACUAUCUCUAAACAGACCGAACCGAGCCUCCACUUGAGCCUCUUCACCCAGGAGUACCAACAAGUGCUUCCAAAAUGGUUUUUUAGACUUUGGUGCAUUAGGCGCAAACUGUGCACAUAUCUUGCACUGAAACUAAAACUGUCUCUAAGCACACCAAAGCGAUUCCAUAUGACACACGUCAUCAAGGAGUUCUAUCGGGUGUGUCCAAAUUAAUUUCUAAGCAUAUGGUACGUUCCAUGCAGACCGUGCAUCUAUCUUGCAUCAAGAUUAGCACUAUCUCCAAAUAGACCAAACCAAGCUUUCACUUGAGCCUUUUACCUAGGAGUACCAUCGGGUGCGUCCAAAAUGGUUUCUUAGCCUAUGCUGCAUUAUGUGCAAACCUUGCACCUAUCUUGCACUGAAACUAACACAGUCUCCAAACAGACCAGCAAGAUUUCAUAUGACACACGUCAUCUAGGAGUUUUAUCAUGUGCGUUUAGAUAGAUUUCAAAGCAUUUGAUAUGUUCCAUGCAAACCGCGCACCUAUCUUGCAUCAAGAUUAGCAUUAUCUCCAAACAGACCGAACCGAGCAUCCACUUGAGCCCCUUCACCUAGGAGUACCAACAAGUGCGUCCAAAAUGGUUUCUUAAACUAUAGUGCAUUAGGUGCAAACUGUGCACCUAUCUUGCAUCGAAACUAACAAUGUCUCCAAAUGGACCGAAGUGAGAUUCCAUAUGACACACGUCAUCAAGGAGUUCCAUCGGGUGCAUCCAAAUUGAUUUCCAAGCAUAUGGUAUGUUCCAUGCAAACCAUGCAGCUACCUUGCAUAAGGAUUAGCACUAUCUCCUAACUGAUCGAACCAAGCUUCCACUUGAGCCUCUUCACCGAGGAGUACCAAAUAGUGCGUCCAAAAUGGUUUCUAAUACUAUGGUGCAUUAGGUGCAAACUGUGCACCUAUCUUGCACCGAAACUAACAAUGUCUCCAAAUGGACCGAAGCGAGAUUCCAUAUGACACAUGUCAUCAAGGAGUUUCAUCGGGUGCAUCCAAAUUGAUUUAUGAGCAUAUGACAUGUUCCAUGUAAAUCAUGCGCCUAUCUUGCAUAAGGAUUAGCACUAUCUCCAAACUGACCGAACCAAGCUUCCACUUGAGCCUCUUCACCCAGGAGUACCAAAUAGUGCGUCCAAAAUGGUUUCUUAGACUAUGUUGCAUUAGGUGCAAACUGUGCACCUAUCUUGCACUAAAACUUACAAUGUCUACAGACGGACGGAAGCAAGAUUCCAUAUGACACACGUCAUCUAGGAGUUCCUUUGGGUGCGUCCAAAUUGAUUUCUAAGCAUAUGGUAUGUUCCUUGCAAAUCAUGCACCUAUCUUGCAUCAAGAUUAGCACUGUCUCCAAAACAGAUCAAACCGAGCUUCCACUUGAGCCUCUUCACCAAAGUACCAACAGGUGCUUCCAAAAUGGUUUCUUAGACUAUGGUGCAUUUGUCACAAACCAUGCACAUAUUUUGCACCGAAACUAACACUGUUUCUAAAUAGACCAAAGCGAGAUUCCAUAUGACACACGUCAUCAAGGAGUCCCAUCAGGUGCAUCCAAAUUGAUUUCCAAGCAUAUGGUAUGUUCUAUGCAAACCAUGCACCUAUCUUGCAUCAAGACUAGCACUAUCUCCAAACAGACCGAAACGAGCUUCCACUUGAGCCUCUUCAUCUAGGAGUAGAAACAGGUGCGUCAAAAAUGGUUUCUUAGACUAUGGUGCAUUAGGCACAAACUAUGCACCUAUCUUGCACUGAAACUAACAUUGUCUCCAAAUAGACUGAAGCGAGAUUCCAUAUGACACACAUCAUCUAGGAGUUCCAUUGGGUGCGUCCAAAUUGAUUUAUUAACAUAUGGUACGUUCCAUGCAAACUGUGCAACUAUCUUGCAUCAAGAUUAGCACUAUAUCCGAGCAGACCAAAUCGAGCCUCCACUUGAGCCUCUUCAACUACGAGUACCAUUGGGUGAGUCUAAAAUGGUUUCUUAGCCUAUGGUGCAUUAGGCGUACACCGUGCACAUAUCUUCUACCAAAAUUAAAACUGUCUCUAAACGAACCAAAGCAAGAUUCCAUAUGACACACAUUAUCAAAGGACUUAUAUCAGGUGGGUCCUAAUUGAUUUCUGAGCAUAUCGUAUGUUCCAUGCAAACCAUGCAUCUAUCUUGCAUCAAGAUUAGCACUAUCUCCAAACAGACCAAACCAAGCUUUCAGUUGAGCCCCUUGACCUAGGAGUACCAUCGGGUGCGUCCAAAAUGGUUUCUUAACCUAUGGUGCAUUAGGUGCAAACCGUGCACCUAUCUUGCACUGAAACUAACACUAUCUCUAAACGGAUCGAAGUGACAUUCCAUAUGACACAUGUCAUCUAGGAGUUCCAUCUUGUGCGUCCAAAUUGAUUUCUGAGCAUAGGGUAUGUUCCAUGCAAAUCGUGCACCUAUCUUGCGUCAAGAUUAGCACUAUCUUUAAACAGACCGAACCGAGCCUCCACUUGAGCCUCUUCACCUAGGAGUAGCAACAAGUGCUUCAAAAAUGAUUUUUAGACUUUGGUGCAUUAGGCGCAAACUGUGCACAUAUAUUGCACCGAAACUAAUACUGUCUCUAAGCACACCAAAGCGAUUCCAUAUGACACACGUCAUCAAGGAGUUCUAUCGGGUGUGUCCAAAUUAAUUUCUAAGCAUAUGGUAUGUUCCAUGCAGACCGUGCAUCUAUCUUGCAUCAAGAUUAGCACUAUCCCCAAAUAGACCAAACCAAGCUUUCACUUGAGCCUUUUACCUAGGAGUACCAUCGGGUGCGUCCAAAAUGAUUUCUUAGCCUAUGCUGCAUUAUGUGCAAACCUUGCACCUAUCUUGCACCGAAACUAACACUGUCUCCAAACAGAUCAAAGCAAGAUUUCGUAUGACACACGUCAUCUAGGAGUUCCAUCGUGUGCAUCCAGAUUGAUUUCCAAGUAUUUGGUAUGUUCCAUGCAAACCGUGCACCUAUCUUGCAUCAAGAUUAGCACUAUCUCCAAACAGACCGAACCGAGUAUCCACUUGAGACCCUUCACCUAGGAUUACCAACAAGUGUGUCCAAAAUGGUUUCAUAGACUAUGGUGCAUUAGGUGCAAACGAUGCACCUAUCUUGCACCGAAACUAACAAUGUCUCCAAAUGGACCGAAGCAGAUUCCAUAUGACACACGUCCUCAAGGAGUUCCAUCGGGUGCAUCCAAAUUGAUUUCCAAGCAUAUGGUAUGUUCCAUGCAAACUAUGCAGCUACCUUGCAUAAGGAUUAGCACUAUCUCCUAACUGACCGAACCAAGCUUCCACUUGAGCCUCUUCACCCAGGAGUACCAAAUAGUGCGCCGAAAAUGGUUUCUUAGACUAUGGUGCAUUAGGUGCAAACUUUGCACCAAUCUUGCACCGAAACUAACAAUGUCUCCAAAUGGACCGAAGCGAGAUUCCAUAUGACACAUGUCAUCAAGGAGUUCCAUCGGGUGCAUCCAAAUUGAUUUAUGAGCAUAUGACAUGUUCCAUGUAAAUCGUGCGCCUAUCUUGCAUAAGGAUUAGCACUAUCUCCAAACUGACCGAACCAAGCUUCCACUUGAGCCUCUUCACCCAGGAGUACCAAAUAGUGCGUCUAAAAUGGUUUCUUAGACUAUGGUGCAUUAGGUGCAAACUGUGCACCUAUCUUGCACUAAAACUUACAAUGUCUACAAACGGACCGAAGCAAGAUUCCAUAUGACACACGUCAUCAAGGAGUUCCAUCGGGUGCAUCCAAAUUGAUUUAUGAGCAUAUGACAUGUUCCAUGUAAAUCGUGCGCCUAUCUUGCAUAAGGAUUAGCACUAUCUCCAAACUGACCGAACCAAGCUUCCACUUGAGCCUCUUCACCCAGGAGUACCAAAUAGUGCGUCUAAAAUGGUUUCUUAGACUAUGGUGCAUUAGGUGCAAACUGUGCACCUAUCUUGCACUAAAACUUACAAUGUCUACAAACGGACCGAAGCAAGAUUCCAUAUGACACACGUCAUCUAGGAGUUACAUUGGGUGCGUCCAAAUUGAUUUCUAAGCAUAUGGUAUGUUCCUUGCAAAUCAUGCACCUAUCUUGCAUCAAGAUUAGCACUAUCUCCAAAAGAGAUCAAACCGAGCUUCCACUUGAGCCUCUUCACCAAAGUACGAACAGGUGCGUCUAAAAUGGUUUCUUAGACUAUGGUGCAUUAGUCACAAACCAUGCGCAUAUUUUGCACCGAAACUAACACUGUUUCUAAGUAGACCAAAGCGAGAUUCCAUAUGACACACGUCAUCAAGGAGUCCCAUCAGGUGCAUCCAAAUUGAUUUCCAUGCAUAUGGCAUGUUCCAAGCAAACCGUGCACCUAUCUUGCAUCAAGACUAGCGCUAUCUCCAAACAGACCGAAACGAGCUUCCACUUGAGCCUCUUCAUUUAGGAGUAGAAAUAGGUGCGUCAAAAAUGGAUUCUUAGACUGUGGUGCAUUAAGCACAAACUAUGCACCUAUCUUGCACUGAAACUAGCAUUGUCUCCAAAUAGACUGAAGCGAGAUUCCAUAUGACACACAUCAUCUAGGAGUUCCAUUGGGUGCGUCCAAAUUGAUUUAUUAACAUGUGGUACGUUCCAUGCAAACUGUGCAACUAUCUUGCAUCAAGAUUAGCACUAUAUCCGAGCAGACCAAGUCGAGCCUCCACUUGUGCCUCUUCCACUACGAGUACCAUUGGGUGAGUCUAAAAUGGUUUCUUAGCCUAUGGUGCAUUAGGCGUAAACUGUGCACAUAUCUUCUACCAAAAUUAAAACUGUCUCUAAACGAACCAAAGCAAGAUUCCAUUGACACACAUUAUCAAGGACUUAUAUCAGGUGGGUCCUAAUUGAUUUCUGAGCAUAUCGUAUGUUCCAUGCAAACCGUGCAUCUAUCUUGCAUCAAGAUUAGCACUAUCUCCAAACAGACCA